This 437-nucleotide ribosomal RNA is filed under the name uncultured Clostridium sp. RNAcentral's name for it is "partial 16S ribosomal RNA". It matches the Rfam family "Bacterial small subunit ribosomal RNA", at positions 341 to 792 of the family's 1533-position model. RNAcentral also lists the same sequence under 1 other name. The record is from RNAcentral. Lineage: Bacteria; Bacillati; Bacillota; Clostridia; Eubacteriales; Clostridiaceae.
ACGGGAGGCAGCAGUGGGGGAUAUUGCACAAUGGGGGAAACCCUGAUGCAGCAACGCCGCGUGAGGGAAGAAGGUUUUCGGAUUGUAAACCUCUGUCCAAGGUGAAGAAAGAAAUGACGGUAGCCAUGGAGGAAGCUCCGGCUAACUACGUGCCAGCAGCCGCGGUAAUACGUAGGGAGCGAGCGUUGUCCGGAAUUACUGGGUGUAAAGGGUGAGUAGGCGGCCAAAUGGGUCAGGCGUGAAAAGCAAGAGCUUAACUCUUGGACUGCGCUUGAAACUAUAUGGCUUGAGUGAAGUAGAGGCAGGCGGAAUUCCCUGUGUAGCGGUGAAAUGCGUAGAGAUAGGGAGGAACACCAGUGGCGAAGGCGGCCUGCUGGGCUUAAACUGACGCUGAGGCACGAAAGCAUGGGUAGCAAACAGGAUUAGAUACCCUGGUA